GGUCCUCGUAGCUCAACUUGUAGAGCAUGGCAUUAACUGUUCCCAAUGUUAGGGGUUCGAUUCCCAUUGGGACCA
Molecule: non-coding RNA, 75 nt
Organism: Merluccius polli (Benguela hake)
Lineage: Eukaryota; Metazoa; Chordata; Actinopteri; Gadiformes; Merlucciidae
Source: the annotation of a GenBank genome assembly